RNAcentral lists this ribosomal RNA (468 nucleotides) under uncultured bacterium. RNAcentral describes it as "partial 16S ribosomal RNA". It matches the Rfam family "Bacterial small subunit ribosomal RNA", at positions 36 to 507 of the family's 1533-position model. The record is from RNAcentral.
UCCUCCCUCUGUCGGCGUGCUUAACACAUGCAAGUCGAACGGAAAGGCCCUGCUUUUGUGGGGUGCUCGAGUGGCGAACGGGUGAGUAACACGUGAGUAACCUGCCCUUGACUUUGGGAUAACUUCAGGAAACUGGGGCUAAUACCGGAUAGGAGCUCCUGCUGCAUGGUGGGGGUUGGAAAGUUUCGGCGGUUGGGGAUGGACUCGCGGCUUAUCAGCUUGUUGGUGGGGUAGUGGCUUACCAAGGCUUUGACGGGUAGCCGGCCUGAGAGGGUGACCGGCCACAUUGGGACUGAGAUACGGCCCAGACUCCUACGGGAGGCAGCAGUGGGGAAUAUUGCACAAUGGGCGGAAGCCUGAUGCAGCAACGCCGCGUGCGGGAUGACGGCCUUCGGGUUGUAAACCGCUUUCGCCUGUGACGAAGCGUGAGUGACGGUAAUGGGUAAAGAAGCACCGGCUAACUACGUG